CGCCUGGGGAGUGCGGCCGCAAGGUUAAAACUCAAAUGAAUUGACGGGGGCCCGCACAAGCGGUGGAGCAUGUGGUUUAAUUCGACGCAAUGCGAAGAACCUUGCCUGGCCUUGACAUGCAGAGAACUUUCCAGAGAUGGAUUGGUGCCUUCGGGAACUCUGACACAGGUGCUGCAUGGCCGUCGUCAGCUCGUGUCGUGAGAUGUUGGGUUAAGUCCCGUAACGAGCGCAACCCCUAUCCCUAGUUGCUAGCAGUUCGGCUGAGAACUCCAGGGAGACUGCCGGUGACAAACCGGAGGAAGGUGGGGAUGACGUCAGGUCAUCAUGGCCCUUACGGCCAGGGCUACACACGUGCUACAACGGUGCGCACAGAGGGCUGCAAACCCGCGAGGGGGAGCCAAUCUCACAAAACGCAUCGUAGUCCGGAUCGCAGUCUGCAACUCGACUGCGUGAAGUCGGAAUCGCUAGUAAUCGUGAAUCAGAAUGUCACGGUGAAUACGUUCCCGGGCCUUGUACACACCGCCCGUCACACCAUGGGAGUGGAUUGCACCAGAAGUAGUUAGUCUAACCUUCGGGAGGACGAUUACCACGGUGUGGUUCAUGACUGGGGUGAAGUCGUAACAAGGUAACCGUA
Molecule: ribosomal RNA, 634 nt
Filed under: uncultured Marinobacter sp.
Lineage: Bacteria; Pseudomonadati; Pseudomonadota; Gammaproteobacteria; Pseudomonadales; Marinobacteraceae
Description: bacterial SSU rRNA
Rfam family: Bacterial small subunit ribosomal RNA
Source: RNAcentral